UGCAACCCCUUUACGUAAUAAAAUAAAGUAAAUUCAACAUAACAUUUUUUUCAGUGUGUGAACAAAAGCAGGCCAGGCACAUGUGCAGGGAGCUUUUUCUCAGAACAAGAUGAGAAAGUAAGUAUUUAUCAAUAUUAAAGAUGUUAAAAAAAUCUUGUCUUUCGAUGAUCUGAAAUACAAUGGUGUUGAGUCCAUAUCAAGUUUUUUUCUUUACACUAUGCAUGACAUUUGUGUGAAAUAUAAAAUGAAUUUAUAUGACAAGCCACCUAUCUUUAAUGAAUAAUCAGUGCUAAAUUUUGUCAUGUGACCUGAGUCAAAGAAAGAGUCAUCUUUUUGUCUCUGUUGUUUGGACUGAUCCUGGAAAACUGUCAGCUGUGUGAGAGCUAACACAGUCAGGUGUCACACAGACUUUACAUUGAUUUAUUUAGCCACUUUUUUCUACAGUGCGUUACUCACUUUUAUCUAAAAUGAUUAAUCUGUUAAAGAUACAUAAAAUGGUGUUUACGAAGAAAAUUACAGUAGAAAAUGACAGUAUAGGGAAACUUUUGCUACAUUAUUUUUGACAUGUGACAGGUACUGUUCUGAUUGGCCCAGCUGGUCACAUGACUACGCCUCUCUGGAUGACAAUCUCUGCUGUCAUCCUGCCAGUUACAAAAGCACAAUUCUGUAGUAUUUUUAUCUCAACUGACAGCUCCAUAUUAGUACAAGAAUCAACACUUUAUGGAUAAUGAUUCACUGUUAAAAUAAAGGAUGCUUUAUUUGUUCUUAGCAGCUGUGAAGUUUUAGUUGUGCUGAUACAUGUGUCUUUCACUUUCUUUUAAUUUCUUGUGUAGGUUAAAAGACUGCGUGAAGCUCAUAAAAUUAUUUUAAUACUGAACUACUAAAACAGCUAAAGUUGAUACUGAUAAAUCUGAUAAAUAAAAAAAUAAAAAACAUUUUGUCUCAAAGAUGGUCCAUAUAGAGCAUAAAAAACAACUGCUCUUUGUUCUACAAGGUAAAUAAAUGUACAUUUAUAAUUUGAUCAUGAUAACAGGUGUUACAAAAUAAUAGGUAAUUGUUUUAACCCCAUAAUAUUGAAAGUCAGUGUUCAGUUCAGUAUUGCUCUUUAAUACUUAAGCAAAAAAAACAAAAAAACCCCCAAAGGUAUACAACUUUAUGCAUUCUUAUGUAUACAAUGAGUUUAGCAGUUAAAUGUAAAAUUAUAUUUUUAUGACAGCAAUGACGUCAUCUACAUGUAUGCUAUGCCUGUACAAAACUCAAUGGAGACGCUGAACAUUGUUAACAAACCUGUAAGUUUAUCUGAUUCAUUCACUGGUCACAUUGCUAUUCAUAUAAGAUUAUUGUGUGUGUGUGAGUGCUGGAAUAAAAAAAAAAUGUGGCUAAUGGAUAAAUUGAGGUCAUAUGUCUACAUGGAAAUCAAUGACAUAUUUUCAUAGUUUUUCUUCCUUUUUAUAUAUAUGCAUAUGAUUACUUUAGAGAAAACCAUAUCACCAUGUGACUAAAAAGUACCUUUUAUCUGAGAUUUCCCAUGUCUGUUUCAGUCACACUUUAGUUUGGGGGUCAGUUCUCUAUUAAAUAACUAUUAACUUGCCUCAGUAAUCUCCUUGUUUACUACUUAAUUAUUUACUAACUUAAUAAAUUAAUAGUUAUUAAGGUAGUUGUUGAGUUUAGGCAUGGAGUCAGGUUAAGGGAUCUAGAAUACGGUCAUGAAGAAUAAAGCAUGUGCUUUAUAAGAACUAAAAAAGAGUCAAUAUGCUAUUAAUAUGCAUGCUAAUAAGCAACUAGUCAAUAUUGAGAACUGAUUUCGAAACCAAAGUGUUAUGUGAAUUUCUGACAUACACUGUUUUUGUGUGUUCUCCAAGGCCCAGACUUCUAAGAUCUCUCAUGUCAGGAGUUUGAACAGCACAUUUCUGAGAGGCAAACGAAAAUAACAUCUUAGUUAAUUUCCACUGUCCCUAGUAUUUAUCCAACAAACCAAAGCUCUCAUGCUUUCCCAUAGGAUUUUUUUGGGUUGUUGUUUCAGACUGUUUUGCUCAUAUUAUAGUAUAUUUGCACAUAUUACUGUAACAUACAGUACAACACAUACAGUAAGAGAACUAUAUAUUUAACAUGGAAAACAUUGUUCAGAUCAUUUGGUUUAGAAAGAAUUUGCUGAUAAAUUUUUCCAAGACUUUUGAUCUUGGAAAUCUGUCUCAUUCUACUCUUUUUUCAGUCUCACUGAUGCAACUAAAAAUAUCUCACUUGUUGUUUUCCUCAGUUUAGAUACAAAUAGUACAUCCCAUUCUGUGAAUCUCCACGCUAGUCAAUAAAAUGACUCUCACAGAGACAGAAGUUUUUAGUUAAGCUGAUGAGCACCUCCUAGAGUACUUCGCAGUUUGUUGUGCUGUGGGAUUACAACAUUUCAACAUGCCGCUGAUGGCAGAUAGAACCAGAUCCAAGCUGGCUAUGACUAAAGGGGUUUGAAAUGGUCUUAUCUUAUCAAAUUUCAGCUUCACAAGAAGAAAUUGAUAUCUUAGAGGAGGCUGUCAUUGUGUCAGCAGAUGCCCUAUGUUUACUGGAUUUUAACUUCAGUGAUCUUGAUAUGUCCCAUACUGCCAUGAGUCAGGCCGUUGUGCGUAUGUUCUCAAUUUGCCCCAGGAGUUCAGCAUUGCCUACAAGGUUUCUGGUAAUCCUGCUUGGCUCUUCUAACUAACGUCACUAAAUCACACCAAAGCUUUGAGUAAUACAUUUGUGUAAGCUGUGGAUCUAGAAUUGGUAUUUCCUUUUCUUUUUCAGACCCUGUGUCAGUGGGUUUUGGGCAUACGGAUGUGCUACAGAAGCAAUGUAGUCUAUCAUAAGUAAAGUCAUGCAUUAUGCACCGCCCAGUGCAUGUUUGCCCCACUGCAGAGUGCAUUAAAAGGAAGAGAACGAAGUUCUACAAACUCGCUCAGAAUAACAACUGUCUAUGGAAAGAUGAAGGACAUGGAAAACUGCUGAGAGGUCAUUGCUAAUGACAGCAAGCGACCUAUGUGCAAUGACCAAACCAUGGCCAGUUCAGAAGUGGUUGAGCUUCUCCCACACACAUUUACAUGCAUGCAUGCAGAUUGCUGAACUUGUAGCAACAGAACUGUACGCACAAGGAGACCGAGAGAAGUGUGAAUACAACAUUCAGCCAAAUGAUUCGAUGGACUGUGAAAACUCCACACAUUUACCCCCAUAUCAACUGACUAUGACUAUAUCAACGGGAUUUGCUCUUCGCUCUUCGAGGUCCUGGCCAGCAUUUGUGUGUCCCGUUUCCUUCUAAAAGAAGGUUGCUGAAGGAACAUAAAACAAUGGCAGAACUCUUUUUGUUAACCAUGCAUAGAGUGGACCAAGUAUGACUCAAAGUUGUAUCUGAUAUUCAGAUUAUUACUAUGUAUGAUGAAAUAAAAUACGUUAAUAUUAUAAUAAAAGCAUUUCACACUCUC
This is an RNA transcript of Carassius auratus (goldfish), 3446 nucleotides long. It is a transcript of the gene named cGMP-specific 3',5'-cyclic phosphodiesterase, with no coding region annotated. The record is from RefSeq and is a predicted model, not a curated record. The transcript has 8 exons. NCBI's taxonomy places the organism in Eukaryota, Metazoa, Chordata, Actinopteri, Cypriniformes, Cyprinidae.